RNAcentral lists this small RNA (29 nucleotides) under Bombyx mori (domestic silkworm). RNAcentral describes it as "ovarian small RNA-27004". The record is from RNAcentral. Lineage: Eukaryota; Metazoa; Arthropoda; Insecta; Lepidoptera; Bombycidae.
UCCAUGAUGUCUACGUGCCCAGGUGGUAU